RNAcentral lists this ribosomal RNA (253 nucleotides) under uncultured bacterium. Its description in RNAcentral is "partial 16S ribosomal RNA". It matches the Rfam family "Bacterial small subunit ribosomal RNA", at positions 524 to 776 of the family's 1533-position model. The record is from RNAcentral.
UACGUAGGGACCGAGCGUUGUCCGGAUUCAUUGGGCGUAAAGAGCUCGUAGGCGGCUGUUCAAGUCGAACGUGAAAACUCGGAGCUCAACUCCGAGCCUGCGUUCGAUACUGGACGGCUAGAGUCUGGUAGGGGGAUCUGGAAUUCCUGGUGUAGCGGUGGAAUGCGCAGAUAUCAGGAGGAACACCGGUGGCGAAGGCGGGAUCCUGGGCCAGUACUGACGCUGAGGAGCGAAAGCCAGGGGAGCAAACGGG